Molecule: long non-coding RNA, 1431 nt
Organism: Saccostrea cuccullata (small rock oyster)
Lineage: Eukaryota; Metazoa; Mollusca; Bivalvia; Ostreida; Ostreidae
Exons: 3
Source: RefSeq, a predicted model, not a curated record
UAGUGAUUUCUUUGAGAAUUCUGGUUAAAUGUGUCACCAAGCAAGUAAUUAGUAAAUAUUCAAGGUUUGCUUUCAUUUCUUUUGGGAUAAAACACACAUUUCUUAUCAAAUCAUGUAUUUUUGGUAAAGAAAUUGACCGCACACAAGUGCUACACCUACUGUGACACGGGGCCUCAGUUUAUACGGUCUCAUCCGAAGGACCGCCCCAUUUAGUCGCCUUUUACGACAAACAAGGGGGUACUGAGGACCUAUUCUAACAUGGAUAUCCACGGGGGAAGAAUUGGAUAGCUGGGUCUUCACUGUCAAUUAAAUCACCAUUAUUGCCUCAUAUGUGGGAUGCAUGAUUAUAAAGAUUCUCAUUUAACAAAAUAUUUUUUCACAUAUUUAUGAGAUGUUAUAAAGAUGGCUACACUUAUGAUUUUCGGCUUUAUGGAUUAGUAGAGUUUUCUUUAUGGGAGAUCACAAUUAUUAGAAAAAAAGUUGUUGUCAAAUACUUGUGCAGACUGUAGACUUUUCAAAUUAAUGGUCACCAUGUGUUCCUUGACAGAUUAUUCAAAUUCAUUUCCCUGGUUAGGACUGGGCUUUACAAUGGGAUUUUCAGCUGUGGAGCUAUUAAGAAUUACUACAUAGGGUUUCCAAUGUAGUUUUGUGAACAUAAUUCAGAAAUAAGAAGAGGGAGACAAUGCAGCAUAAGCAUUACCAAUUACUUGCCACUGCUGAGAAAAUGGUACAUGCUUUGAGUACUACUUGUGUGUAUUUGGAGACAGUCCAGUUCUUCUUUAAACCAGGAGUGGAAAUUUCAGUGCUUGUUCAAUUUCUCCAGAAGUUACAUGUAUUGGAUGCUAGAAUAGUUAGGAUACACCUUAUAGAUUUUGAAAGCUUGAGACCUCAAGAUCAACCCAAAUGGUGUACCAAACAUGAAGAAAAAAAGACAGUUUAUGAUUGAAGAAGUGUAGUAGCAAAAAUUUCAGGGUAUUUCAUAUAUGUUAACUUAUAAGAUUUUAUUGGUACAUGUACAUUGUUACAUUGUUAACAUCUUGAUAUUUAAUAUGUAUCAGGUUUCACUUGCAGGAAUACACAAAAAUUCAGAGUAAAUUUUAAGUGUUGGUUAUUUUAGAUAAGAUCAAAGUCCAAGGUCAACAACAAGGUCCAACAGUGCUUUAGUUUUACCAAAUAUAACACUAUUAUAAAGACUAAUUUCCUGUAUAGCAAAUAAUUCAGAAUAUGAUUUGGGAAACUGUGAUUUUUUCUUUUAAAUCUUAUCUUAAUUUAUAACCAUGAUGCAUACUUAAGCAAGUAGAUUUUUUUCAAGCAUACAAAAUUUCAAGGUCAUUUUAAUUUUGGAAGUGAAUAUAAGAUAUCAGGAAGCAGUCAAGCAUUGUAAUUUUUUUGUUGUUGAAUGUACUUAGUUAUUGAGUAAUAAUCAAAUUU